This 247-nucleotide ribosomal RNA is filed under the name uncultured bacterium. RNAcentral describes it as "partial 16S ribosomal RNA". It matches the Rfam family "Bacterial small subunit ribosomal RNA", at positions 524 to 776 of the family's 1533-position model. The record is from RNAcentral.
UACGAAGGUGGCAAGCGUUGUUCGGAUUUACUGGCGUAAAGGGAGCGUAGGUGGUUAGGUAAGCCCUCCGGGAAAUCUUCAGGCUUAACCUGAAAAGGUCGGGGGGACUGCCUAGCUAGAGGGCGGAGAGGAGCGCGGAAUUCCCGGUGUAGCGGUGGAAUGCGUAGAGAUCGGGAGGAAGGCCGGUGGCGAAGGCGGCGCUCUGGAACGUUCGUGACACUGAGGCUCGAAGCGUGGGAGCAACAGG